Xenopus laevis (African clawed frog) is the source of this 540-nucleotide long non-coding RNA. RefSeq lists it as uncharacterized. The record is from RefSeq and is a predicted model, not a curated record. NCBI's taxonomy places the organism in Eukaryota, Metazoa, Chordata, Amphibia, Anura, Pipidae. The transcript is spliced from 2 exons.
CAAGUCAAGGUCGGAUUUCUUCUUCAAGUCAAGGUCGGAUUUCUUCUUCAAGUCAAGGUCGGAUUUCUUCUUCAAGUCAAGGUCGGAUUUCUUCUUCAAGUCAAGGUCGGAUUUCUUCUUCAAGUCACCCAUUCUCACAAGUAUCAUCUUACACAGGAUACGAAGUCUGGAAAUAGGAUUUUUUACAGCUACGUUCUUGAAAGACCAACAGGAUGCCGAAACAACUAAAAAAACGCAAGUGUGUAUUGACUGACUCUAUACGAAAAGAAUUUCCAUUUCUCAGGCCAGGAGAAAAUGAAAACUCAGCUUUCUGUUCAAUGUGUAAGAUAUCUUUUACUAUCGCAAGUGGUGGGCGAGCAUCUGUAACUGACCAUAUAGCUUGUAAAAAACAUAAAAGGGCACAGCUGUCUCAAGCUGGUACUUCAAAAGUAAACACAUUUUUUAAAAAAUUGUUACCUGAUAAAAGUGAGUUACACUUGGCACUUCAAGAAGGAACAUAUGCAUUCCAUACAAUAAAGCAUCAUCAUAGUUUUAGGUCAA